GUGCCAUCCAUGCCUAAGUCCUUUGUAUAUAUUCACAGAACAAGUAUAGCAGUGGCAGUUGAAGCUUAUGCACAUUGGCAUUGUUUCAAGUCUGACCUAGGGUGACUAUCUCUAGAGGUGAAAGGGUAGAUCAGUCUCCAUACUUAGUCAUUCUUGGUCUCU
Molecule: small RNA, 162 nt
Filed under: Chrysemys picta bellii (western painted turtle)
Lineage: Eukaryota; Metazoa; Chordata; Testudines; Emydidae
Description: TUC338 (ENSCPBG00000026148.1)
Source: RNAcentral